CAGGCCUAACACAUGCAAGUCGAACGGUCACUUCGGUGAUAGUGGCGGACGGGUGAGUAAUACAUAGAUAAUCUGCCUUAAAGUGGGGGACAGCUAGCCGAAAUGUUAGCUAAUCCCGCAUAAUGUAUUUAACUGGAAUGUUGAUUAAGAAAGGGGUUUAUUCGCUUAUAGAGGAGUCUAUGGUUGAUUAGCUAGUUGGUAGGGUAAUGGCUUACCAAGGCGACGAUCAAUAGCUGGUCUGAGAGGACGAUCAGCCACACUGGGACUGAGACACGGCCCAGACUUCUACGGAAGGCAGCAGUGGGGAAUUUUCCGCAAUGGACGAAAGUCUGACGGAGCGACACCGCGUGGAGGAUGAAGUUUUUAGGAAUGUAAACUCCUUUUGGCAGGGAUGAACACAAUGACAGUACCUGCAGAAUAAGCAUCGGCUAACUACGGGCCAGCAGCCGCGGUAAU
RNAcentral lists this ribosomal RNA (456 nucleotides) under uncultured bacterium. RNAcentral's name for it is "bacterial SSU rRNA". It matches the Rfam family "Bacterial small subunit ribosomal RNA", at positions 43 to 524 of the family's 1533-position model. The record is from RNAcentral.